CCUAGGGGAGGCAGCAGUGGGGAAUAUUGGGCAAUGGAGGAAACUCUGACCCAGCGACGCCGCGUGAGGGAUGAAGGUCUUCGGAUUGUAAACCUCUUUCAGUAGGGAAGAAGCGAAAGUGACGGUACCUAAAGAAGAAGCACCGGCUAACUAUGUGCCAGCAGCCGCGGUAAU
Molecule: ribosomal RNA, 174 nt
Filed under: uncultured bacterium
Lineage: Bacteria
Description: partial 16S ribosomal RNA
Rfam family: Bacterial small subunit ribosomal RNA
Source: RNAcentral